This 486-nucleotide ribosomal RNA is filed under the name uncultured Glomus. RNAcentral's name for it is "SSU rRNA". It matches the Rfam family "Eukaryotic small subunit ribosomal RNA", at positions 562 to 1052 of the family's 1831-position model. Lineage: Eukaryota; Fungi; Glomeromycota; Glomeromycetes; Glomerales; Glomeraceae. RNAcentral also lists the same sequence under 1 other name. The record is from RNAcentral.
UGGUGCCAGCAGCCGCGGUAAUUCCAGCUCCAAUAGCGUAUAUUAAAGUUGUUGCAGUUAAAAAGCUCGUAGUUGAAUUUCGGGGUUAGUAAGUUGGUCAUGCCUCUGGUAUGCACUGGCUUUACUGAUUCCUCCUUCUUGAUGAACUGUAAUGUCAUUAAUUUGGUGUUGCAGGGAAUCAGGACUGUUACUUUGAAAAAAUUAGAGUGUUUAAAGCAGGCAUACGCUUGAAUACAUUAGCAUGGAAUAAUGAAAUAGGACGUUUGAUCCUAUUUUGUUGGUUUCUAGGAUUGACGUAAUGAUUAAUAGGGAUAGUUGGGGGCAUUAGUAUUCAAUUGUCAGAGGUGAAAUUCUUGGAUUUAUUGAAGACUAACUACUGCGAAAGCAUUUGCCAAGGAUGUUUUCAUUAAUCAAGAACGAAAGUUAGGGGAUCGAAGACGAUCAGAUACCGUCGUAGUCUUAACCAUAAACUAUGCCGACUAGGGA